CGGACGGGUGAGUAACACGUGGGUAACCUGCCUGUAAGAUUGGGAUAACUCCGGGAAACCGGAGCUAAUACCGGAUAACAUUUCGAACCGCAUGGUUCGAAAUUGAAAGAUGGUUUCGGCUAUCACUUACAGAUGGACCCGCGGCGCAUUAGCUAGUUGGUGAGGUAACGGCUCACCAAGGCAACGAUGCGUAGCCGACCUGAGAGGGUGAUCGGCCACACUGGGACUGAGACACGGGCCAGACUCCUACGGGAGGCAGCAGUAGGGAAUCUUCCGCAAUGGACGAAAGUCUGACGGAGCAACGCCGCGUGAACGAUGAAGGCCUUCGGGUCGUAAAGUUCUGUUGUUAGGGAAGAACAAGUACCAGAGUAACUGCUGGUACCUUGACGGUACCUAACCAGAAAGCCACGGGUAACUACGUGCCAGCAGCCGCGGUAAUACGUAGGUGGCAAGCGUUGUCCGGAAUUAUUGGGCGUAAAGCGCGCGCAGGCGGUUUCUUAAGUCUGAUGUGAAAGCCCACGGCUCAACCGUGGAGGGUCAUUGGAAACUGGGGAACUUGAGUGCAGAAGAGGAGAGUGGAAUUCCACGUGUAGCGGUGAAAUGCGUAGAGAUGUGGAGGAACACCAGUGGCGAAGGCGACUCUCUGGUCUGUAACUGACGCUGAGGCGCGAAAGCGUGGGGAGCGAACAGGAUUAGAUACCCUGGUAGUCCACGCCGUAAACGAUGAGUGCUAAGUGUUAGAGGGUUUCCGCCCUUUAGUGCUGCAGCAAACGCAUUAAGCACUCCGCCUGGGGAGUACGGUCGCAAGACUGAAACUCAAAGGAAUUGACGGGGGCCCGCACAAGCGGUGGAGCAUGUGGUUUAAUUCGAAGCAACGCGAAGAACCUUACCAGGUCUUGACAUCCUUCGCUA
RNAcentral lists this ribosomal RNA (912 nucleotides) under Bacillus sp. B584. Its description in RNAcentral is "bacterial SSU rRNA". It matches the Rfam family "Bacterial small subunit ribosomal RNA", at positions 99 to 995 of the family's 1533-position model. The record is from RNAcentral. Lineage: Bacteria; Bacillati; Bacillota; Bacilli; Caryophanales; Bacillaceae.